UACGGAGGAGGCAAGCGUUAUCCGGAAUUAUUGGGCGUAAAGCGUCCGUAGGCGGUUGUACAAGUCUUUUGUCAAAGCGCGAGGCUUAACUUCGUAAGGGCAGGAGAAACUGUAGAGCUAGAGUGCGGUAGGGGUAGAGGGAAUUCCCAGUGUAGCGGUGAAAUGCGUAGAUAUUGGCAAGAACACCGGUGGCGAAAGCGCUCUACUGGGCCUGCACUGACACUGAGGGACGAAAGCUAGGGGAGCGAAAGGG
This 253-nucleotide ribosomal RNA is filed under the name uncultured bacterium. Its description in RNAcentral is "partial 16S ribosomal RNA". It matches the Rfam family "Bacterial small subunit ribosomal RNA", at positions 524 to 776 of the family's 1533-position model. The record is from RNAcentral.